CGGGGUGUAGCGAAGUGGUAUCGCGCACGGUUCGGGACCGUGAGAUCGGGAGUUCAAUCCUCCCCACCCCGA
This 72-nucleotide transfer RNA is filed under the name Candidatus Uhrbacteria bacterium RIFCSPHIGHO2_01_FULL_46_23. Its description in RNAcentral is "tRNA-Pro". It matches the Rfam family "tRNA". From Rfam's summary of the family: Transfer RNA (tRNA) molecules are approximately 80 nucleotides in length. Their secondary structure includes four short double-helical elements and three loops (D, anti-codon, and T loops). Further hydrogen bonds mediate the characteristic L-shaped molecular structure. tRNAs have two regions of fundamental functional importance: the anti-codon, which is responsible for specific mRNA codon recognition, and the 3' end, to which the tRNAs corresponding amino acid is attached (by aminoacyl-tRNA synthetases). tRNAs cope with the degeneracy of the genetic code in two manners: having more than one tRNA (with a specific anti-codon) for a particular amino acid; and 'wobble' base-pairing, i.e. permitting non-standard base-pairing at the 3rd anti-codon position. The record is from RNAcentral. RNAcentral also lists the same sequence under 6 other names. Lineage: Bacteria; Candidatus Uhriibacteriota.